UGUGAACUACAAUGUUUCAGGACAUUCUGAUGUUGAAUUCCAAAAUAAGAGCCCCCAAACUCGAAUAUUAGAUGUUUUGUUUACACAUUCAGAAAAUCAUAAAAAUAAAAGUCCUAGUUUCCACAGACCAAUUUCACAUCAGGUGGGGAGGACACCUUCUCAAGGUGUGAACUACAAUGUUUCAGGACAUUCUGAUGUUGAAUUCCAAAAUAAGAGCCCCCAAACUCGAAUAUUAGAUGUUUUGUUUACACAUUCAGAAAAUCAUAAAAAUAAAAGUCCUAGUUUCCACAGACCAAUUUCACAUCAGGUGGGGAGGACACCUUCUCAAGGUGUGAACUACAAUGUUUCAGGACAUUCUGAUGUUGAAUUCCAAAAUAAGAGCCCCCAAACUCGAAUAUUAGAUGUUUUGUUUACACAUUCAGAAAAUCAUAAAAAUAAAAGUCCUAGUUUCCACAGACCAAUUUCA
Molecule: long non-coding RNA, 466 nt
Organism: Xyrauchen texanus (razorback sucker)
Lineage: Eukaryota; Metazoa; Chordata; Actinopteri; Cypriniformes; Catostomidae
Exons: 3
Source: RefSeq, a predicted model, not a curated record